GACGAACGCUGGCGGCGUGCUUAACACAUGCAAGUCGAACGAUGAAGCCUAGCUUGCUGGGUGGAUUAGUGGCGAACGGGUGAGUAAUACGUGAGUAACCUACCUUUAACUCUGGGAUAAGCCCGGGCAACUGGGUCUAAUACCGGAUACGACCAAUCUCCGCCUGGGGUGUUGGUGGAAAGCGUUAUGUAGUGGUUAUAGAUGGGCUCACGGCCUAUCAGCUUGUUGGUGAGGUAACGGCUCACCAAGGCGACGACGGGUAGCCGGCCUGGGAGGGUGACCGGCCACACUGGGACUGAGACACGGCCCAGACUCCUACGGGAGGCAGCAGUGGGGAAUAUUGCACAAUGGGCGCAAGCCUGAUGCAGCGACGCCGCGUGAGGGAUGACGGCCUUCGGGUUGUAAACCUCUGUUAGCAGGGAAGAAGAGAGAUUGACGGUACCUGCAGAGAAAGCGCCGGCUAACUACGUG
RNAcentral lists this ribosomal RNA (471 nucleotides) under uncultured bacterium. RNAcentral describes it as "partial 16S ribosomal RNA". It matches the Rfam family "Bacterial small subunit ribosomal RNA", at positions 28 to 507 of the family's 1533-position model. The record is from RNAcentral.